GGGAAAUUGCGAAAUCAUCCAGUUGGGAUCACCGAGCCUGCAGGGUCCCCUUCCUGGGCGAGCCUCCUGGCCCCGUGCUAUCGGAGGCCUGGACACCCCCGCCAGGGACCCAGCGACCCAGCAAGUCCCCACCCCCUCUAAGGGCGACCUGGGCCUCGGGGUGAGAGGUCUCCUACACUAAAAAGGCUGCCGCCCUUCAAUCCUAGACCCCGAGAUUCCUUUCACUCGGGAAAUCUCGUAAUGGCAUCCAUUGUCAUUUUGAUCUUUAUGCCGAAUUUCUAGCUCCUGCGUCUCCAUUGCCGGUCCUAAAAGUCGCCGUUUCACUAAGCUUCGGAACCUGACUCCGAGAAAUCUAUUCGUUCGUCCCAAGAUCUCAGCCAGAAAGAGAAAUCCGCGCGGCGGCCUCUUCUAGCUCGGGUGCUGGGAGGCCCCGUCCUGAUCCUCUGUCGCCCUGGCCGAUCUCCCUCAGGGCCACGGGGAAGAGGAACCUGAGCAGCUCUGAGGGGCGAGUCUCUGACGGUGGGGCUCCCCCUCGUCCUGCCAGGACCCUGCCCCAAGGAGAAGACCCCUUAGGACGUUACCAGAUUUAAACAAUGUUUUCUCCUGCUCUUCAGAGCACCUGGGAUAAGGUUCCUGAUGGGUCUUGGGAGCAAACUAACAUGUCGCUCCAGGCGCUCAAGACCAUCCCUCUGAUUUUCAUAUUUUGGGGCUGAGAGCGUUUAAGAAGGACUGAAAAACGCUGCAGUCUUUGAGGGGCUAAGUUUGGAGGAUGCGGGAGUGGGAGAGGAUGCCUUCUUGGCUCCUUGGAGUGGACUGGCAGGUAAGGAAACACAAACUCCGUUUCCCCUUGCAGGCUGGACUGCAGGGCCUGGGAUGGAAAAUUGGACAGUCAAAGAGUAACAGUAUUUAUGUAGAGGUUGGCUGCAUUCAUUAAAAAUUGUUAUCCCUACGGAUAAGUGUAGGAAGGGACCAGGGCACUGCCGUUCACCACCAGCUUUGCAGCAUAUGUGACUUUGAAAACAGUGUAUAGUGCAUAAAAAUUCAUCCCUCUUUACAAAUAAUUGAUCACAACCAGUUACAGAUUUUUUUGUUCCUUCUCCACUUCCACUGCUUCACUUGACUAGCCUUAUAGGAAAAAAAGUUAUUUGUAAAUAUGAUAUUGUUUCAGUUGAUCCUCAGCCCGCCCGUUCCCCACCCCCUGAAAGUAGCUGGAACAACAGGUGUGCACCGUGUGCUGGGCUCAUUUUUGUAUUUUUAGUAAGGAUUGCCUUUUGCCAUAUUGUCCAGGCAGCUCUCGAAUGCCUGGACUCAAGUGAUCCGCCUGCCUGGGCCUUCCUGCUCCUCCCUGCUGGGAUUACAGCUGUGAACCACCCCACUUGGCCAUCAAUUGUAUUUUGAAUUUAAAUGUUUUAUAGUCAUCAUUCUUCAAAUAUUCUUGGUUUUGUUGCAUGUGCAUGAUGGGGUUCAGGACAUGCUACCCCAAAAUAUAACAUCUUGGGGUAUUGAAUAUUUUAUGUUAAGGGAAUUUGAAUAAACAAUAGAAGCAGGAAGGUCACUGUCACCCUCCCCCUGCCCUUCUUUCCUGAAGUCGAUUAUAGACCCUUAUGUGAGAUGUUCCCUCUCUGUACCCAGAGGAAAGGUGCAUCCUGGAGUCUGAAGACACAGGGACACAGAGAAGAGCCUGAACACAGAGGCCUGGCCCCGUUUUCCCCAGUUUGUUACUGUUAGAUCAUACUUUUAUUGUCUUAUCAUACUUCUCCAUGACUAUCCAUUCUUCAAUAAAACUACUCUUAAAAAACAAACAAACAAACAAAAAACUGAGGUUUAGCUGUUUCCAUGGGCCUUCAUUUCCUUUGGAAGGCAUUCCUGUCAUGUAAAACUUACAUUAAAUAAAUAC
This is a long non-coding RNA of Homo sapiens (human), 1897 nucleotides long. The record is from Ensembl. Lineage: Eukaryota; Metazoa; Chordata; Mammalia; Primates; Hominidae.